Rosa rugosa (rugosa rose) is the source of this 1440-nucleotide long non-coding RNA. RefSeq lists it as uncharacterized. The transcript is spliced from 2 exons. The record is from RefSeq and is a predicted model, not a curated record. NCBI's taxonomy places the organism in Eukaryota, Viridiplantae, Streptophyta, Magnoliopsida, Rosales, Rosaceae.
ACAAGUUGCUUCUUGAUUAAUUUUAGGAUUAAAUUUUGUUUAGUCCCUGUACUCUGACGUUGUCCUCGUUUCAGUCCCUGACAUUCUCAUUUAAUCUGAAAAGUCCUUAAUAUCACAAUUUCCAUUUAAUUGGUACACUCCGUCCAAUUGCUCCGUUUGUAGGCUGACGUGGCAUUAAAGUCAACGCCAACUCAGCCUUUUCAAUUGCGAAAUGUCCAUACUAUCCAUGCCCUUUAUUAUUCUGUUUAUCUCUUCUUCUUCCCCAUCUCUGUCUUCUCCUUCUGUUUAUCUCCCUCCUCUCUCCUUCUGUUUGUCUCCCUCCUUUCUCAAAUGAUCAACCCCAAAUACUCCGCCUCCGCCUCGCCUCCAGCCUCGACACCCAGAUUGAGACCUAUAUCGAUCUUCUCCAUCGUUCUGCAAUUCUCGAUUUGUGUGAGCGAACGAAGUACAAAUCCAAGACGUUGUGCCUCAACCGGCGGUCCAUUUCGACAUCGGAGGCGUCGUCGGCGCCAACGACUGUCUUUGCUAAGAAGCCCGAGUGCUUCUUCACCAUGCUGAGCAGUUUGUAUCUGCGAGACCAAGAGAGGCCCAUGAUCGAAUCACUGUGACUCCAUGAAAUCACAGUGAUUCGAUCAGAAUCUCCAGAAAAAGAUCAAUACCCAGAAGAGGCCUCCUUCAUAUCCAUCUCAUCAAGAUUUGAGAUGGACGGAAACAAAACGACGCCUUGAAAUGUUUUAGAAUUGGGAAAGAAGCUUUGGACAGCGGAGAUUGCAGCUGUGCCGUAAAGUUUUUGUCUAAAGCUCGUCGUUUUGAUCCGUCGUUACCGAUCGACGAUAUGUUAUCGUCGGUUGAGAAAGACUUUGAUCCUUCGCCGACUUUAGAUGGCAUUAAAACCGUCGACGGGCUGUCCAUGUUGGGUUUGGGUCAGCAAGUGGGUAUACGGAGAAGCAAGCUACGAUUGUGAGGCAAUUGAAGAAGAAGAAGGAUUAUUGUGAGAUUUUGGGGAUGGAGAGGAGUUGUAGUGUUGAAGAUGUUCGAAAAGCUUAUAGGAAGCUGUGUUUGAAGGUUCAUCCGGAUAAGAACAAGGCCCGAGGUCUGCUGAGUAUGGCUCUAGUGGGUUAAAUGCUCGGACUGUGCUGCUUGUGCUACUUAUUUUGCUUCUCAACUUCAUGCCGUCUUCGGAGGGGAUUUGUACGCGAAACACCACAUUGUGACAUGUUGAAGCAGUUUGAGGCGGCAACUUGAUGUCUUGAACUGAAGGUCCAAUUUCUCCUGUUAUCUUAUGCUUUAGAUGAUACAGAGUUCUAUCUAUUCUAGACAAAAUGUUCAAUAAGUGAUUCUUUGCUAUUUCACUCUUGACACUGACCUUAAGCUUGAAUACCCAGUGUUCUUUGUAUUCUAUCUAUUACACAUGCUACCAUUGAUGGUAAUUUUCAAAAA